UUGGCCGUAGCUUAAUUGGCAGAGCGCCUGGCUGUGAACCAGGUUCGUGCCGGUUCAAAUCCGGCCGGUCAAC
RNAcentral lists this transfer RNA (73 nucleotides) under Rhodopirellula sp. Its description in RNAcentral is "tRNA-His". It matches the Rfam family "tRNA". From Rfam's summary of the family: Transfer RNA (tRNA) molecules are approximately 80 nucleotides in length. Their secondary structure includes four short double-helical elements and three loops (D, anti-codon, and T loops). Lineage: Bacteria; Pseudomonadati; Planctomycetota; Planctomycetia; Pirellulales; Pirellulaceae. The record is from RNAcentral.